Molecule: ribosomal RNA, 459 nt
Filed under: uncultured bacterium
Lineage: Bacteria
Description: bacterial SSU rRNA
Rfam family: Bacterial small subunit ribosomal RNA
Source: RNAcentral
GAGUUUGAUCAUGGCUCAGAUUGAACGCUGGCGGCAUGCUUUACACAUGCAAGUCGAACGGUAACAGGGAGCUUGCUCCGCUGACGAGUGGCGAACGGGUGAGUAAUGCGUCGGAACGUGCCGAGUAGUGGGGGAUAACGCAUCGAAAGGUGUGCUAAUACCGCAUACGAACUGAGGUUGAAAGUGGGGGACCUUCGGGCCUCACGCUAUUCGAGCGGCCGACGUCUGAUUAGCUAGUAGGUGAGGUAAAGGCUCACCUAGGCGACGAUCAGUAGCGGGUCUGAGAGGAUGAUCCGCCACACUGGGACUGAGACACGGCCCAGACUCCUACGGGAGGCAGCAGUGGGGAAUUUUGGACAAUGGGCGCAAGCCUGAUCCAGCCAUGCCGCGUGUCUGAAGAAGGCCUUCGGGUUGUAAAGGACUUUUGUCUGGGAGCAAAUACCCGGUGUUAAUAGCGCC